UGAUCUGCCCACCUCAGCCUCCCAAAGUGCUGAGAUUACAGGCGUGAGCCACUGCGCCUGGCCUAGCGUUAUUUUAGCCCUAACUAACAUUAUUCUCUGGGUCAGUGAAAUUUAAGUGGAAUAUAUUGGGCAGUGACCUAAUGGAGCAUGAAGCAGGAUUUGAAUCACUUCCAAAGCUGUGCACCAACCACUUAGGCAAAUUAGUGAUUUCAGUAACUUAGUAUUUCAGUAACUGGCGCUCACAGGCAAAUGCGUAAUGGAUUAACCCCAUAUUAUUUAAAUGUUUCCAAAAAGCUAUAGGAAAAUGGCCAUUAAAAACAAACUGACAAAUUUAGCCAACAGGCCACUAUUUGACAAUUCUGCAAGCUUAUUUUUAAAAUUCAGCUUAUCAAAACUGCCAUUCCAGAAGCCAGGGACCUGAGUUUCCAUAGAGGAUGGAGUAGAAUGGAGGGGCCUCUGUAUAAAUCUACCUCCUCGGGAACUGGGACAGUUCAGCAUUCACCAGAGUAACAUAUGAAGAAACAGGAGAUUCCUACAUGCUCCUGGGGAUCCAGAAGAGAGACCACUCACAUGACUGGAAGAUUUCCAGCUCAGGGAGUGCUGGUUUGCCACAAAACUCCAUCGUAACUGAAAGAGGAAAUCUUCUACAAAUUCCAGAGACCUUCUUGGAGGAUGAGAAGCAGCCACUAGUUGACAGGAGGGGAAGUGAGGCAUGUAGUCUUCAAGGGAGCAGACCACCGUGGGAGUUAUAAAAUAUCAGCGACGCCUCUGGGUGGGUUCGAACCGCCAACCUUUUAGUUAACAGCCAAACGCGCUAGCCGAUUGCGCCACAGAGACAUGGCUGAGCUCCUGAUUUCGUUCUAAAAGAGGGUAAGCUGUCACUAAACGCUAGCUAGCACCAUCCGCCUUUUGCAAAAUGAUUGGGUAAUCUCCAAAGCCUGACCAACAUGGUGAAAACCUGCCUCCACUAAAAACACAAAAUUAGCUGGGGGUGGUGGUGCAUGCCUGUAAUCCCAGCUACUUAGGAGGCUGAGGCAGGAGAAUUGCUUGAACCUGAGAGGCGGAGGUUGCAAUGAGCUGAGAUCGCACCCUUGCACUCCAGCCUGGGCAACAACAGCAAAAACUCCACCUCAAAAAAAAAAAAAAAAGAAAAGAAAAGAAAAUGAGCUAAGGAGCUAGGCUUCCUUAUUUCACAACCUUGGCUCUGUCUCCUAUGAAACCAGGGCAACUAUUUAACCCCUCCAUGUCUGAGUUUCCUCAUGUAUAAAUGAAGGGAGCAAUAGUACCUAGCUUAUAAGGCCAUUAUAAGGAUUUUAAAAGUUAAUCUAAAGUGCUUAGGACAGUGUAUGGCAUAGAGCAAGCACUCAGUAAAUCCAUUCAUUCAAUAAAUGUUUAUUGAAUAUAGGUGUGGCUGCUGUUUUGGCUGAUGAGUAUACUAAAGUCAGUGAAACAGACGAAAUCUGUGGAGCUUUCUUCCUUGGGGGAGGAGGCCAACAACAACAACGAAUACACACAGAGGAAGAGCAAUGGAAUGAAUUGUGUUCCCUCCCCUCCCAAAUUCAUAUGUUGAAGCCCUAACUGCCAACGUGAUGGUAUCUGGAGAUGGGGCAUUUGGGAAAUAAUUAGAUUUAGAAGAGAUCAUGAAGGUGGGAGACUCGUGAUGGGAUUAGUGCCCUUUUAAGAAGAGAAAGAGUCAGGUGCAGUGGCUCUUGCCUGUAAUCUCAGCACUUU
This 1731-nucleotide long non-coding RNA is filed under the name Homo sapiens (human). RNAcentral describes it as "HSALNT0295290". Lineage: Eukaryota; Metazoa; Chordata; Mammalia; Primates; Hominidae. The record is from RNAcentral.